This is a long non-coding RNA of Nyctereutes procyonoides (raccoon dog), 4906 nucleotides long. RefSeq lists it as uncharacterized. Lineage: Eukaryota; Metazoa; Chordata; Mammalia; Carnivora; Canidae. The record is from RefSeq and is a predicted model, not a curated record. The transcript has 3 exons.
CUGCGACGGGCGCGCCCUCGUGGUCUUACGUGGUCGUGCGUGACGUGCGCCCCCCAGCGGGGACGCAGAGGGCGGGAGCGCGGGAAAGGCCGCCUGCUGGGCGGCGGCUGAGGUGGACGAGGUGCCCGCCCCGCAGCAGGGAUUCUCAACAGGGCUAAGGCUGGAGACACCGUUGGUUAUCUCGGUUGUCACAACACUCCCUGUGCAAGUCCGCGGCUUUGAUCAGGGUGACAUGGAUAUGCAUGAAGAUGAGGACCUACUCGGUAUCCUUGACUAUUUUGUCUUCCAAGCAUCGGAUCAGGGUCCACAGCAAUCUGUAGAACCACUGCACUUGGGGAGUAAAGUGUAGAAUUCCCCUCUGUUGCCUGAACUGUAGGGGUCUCUGGAGAUCUACCAGGGAUCCACCAAGAGCUCAAAAAUCACAAGGCAAUGCCUCAACCCUAAUCAUCAAUCAGACUGUGUGUACAUCCUACAUGUCAUCAAGCAUGGCUAGAAGGGACACGUUAGGGUUGCCUUCCCCAGAGUGGGGAAGAGUGAGGCCAUGCUUGACAGCGUUUCUAUAAACACUGUCUUGGGCUCAAGGACAGGAUCCUUGUACGUGUGCCCCAGAAUGGCAACAGUCUGCUCGCAGUGCUUGAUGAGCCUCGAGAAUCAGGAAGGUGGGGCCUGGAUGUGUGUGUGUGUGUAGGGACGUGACUGAGGAAAAUGGGAACAUUCCCAUACCUUCCAACCAGCUGGCUCGUCCUCCAUUUGUAUUCUUUCUUCCUCCUUACUUACCAAAUCCAAACGACUUCCUCCCUUUCUGCUUCAUGCCCCCAGGCAGAGAGGCUGCACUUGGGCCACGGAGAGCAGCGUGAUGACCCCCUACCCUAGCAGUGUCAUCACACUGGGCUCCUUGAAGACUUGGAAAGAGGGCCUUUCCUUGCCUUGGGUGCCCACGUCAGAGGGAGACCUAUUUGUCACAUUUAAAGUUUGCUUUCCGGGGGCUGAUUUCCACCCCGGACAGCAGGUUCUGAAGUGGAUUUUCCCUGACCUCACGCUGCGCCCUGCCCGGGCCACGAGCCAAGGCGGCGGCACUGCCUGCUGCAUACUCCCACCUGGUGUGAACACCAUCCCAGACGUGGCGCCACCAGAAGGGAGCACUUGGCGCUGAAGAGCAGACACGUUGGAGAGAAUAAGCACCCUGGGUUCGGAGAAACAGAGACCAGUCUUCUCAGAGGACGUGCAGCCUGUGGCCUAAUUAACUUUCUCAAGUUGUACAGAAACAGCCUUUUUUUUUUUUUUCCAGAAACAGCUUUUUAAGAAAAGUUUCCCUUCUCAGAGAAGAUGGUUAUCCUGCUGGCCCGAUGGAACACACCCUUGAAGACGGGCCUGGCCAGCAGAGGGCCCGGGCCUGAGGCCUCCCCCCGUGGCCUUGGGAUGCGGCCUAGAGAUGUGAAGACCACAUACAAGCACCUACGGGCUCAGGUUCUGGAGGGCAAACACUGUCACGGACGUUGUUUUAUAGGCGGACAGCUGUUAGAGGUAGUAGAUGAAACCCCGAGGCAGUGUUAGGCUUACUGUAGCUUACAUGGACUGUGUGUAUAUGAGACAUCAUCUUUAAAAAAAAAAAAAAAACAAAUAGAAACUGUAGUAUUUAUAGGUAAAGGGCUUUGGUAUACGCAGCUUGCCCUUUAAUGUUUGGGCAAAAAUCUAUGUCUCUAUGCAUCUGUCCGUACAUAGAAUGCAUGUGAGUGGUGAGCAGGAAGAUCCAAGGGACAACUGAUUACAAGAGGGCGGAUCGGAUCAUAGGUGCACUCACGCAUCUCUUCGUUAGGUUUUAUGUUAUCCCAAAAUUAAAAUGACAACUUGACCCUGUCUUCCUCUUAUCAAGAGGCACACAUCAUCUUUUAAUUAUUUUAAUAUUUUAUUAUGAAAAAUGUUAAACAUGCACAUCACAGGAAAGAACAGAAGGAAUUAUGAUCCACCUCCUACCUUAAAAAUUACUGUCAUUUUGUCAUUUGUGAUGAUACCUUUUAAAAAAAGGGAAGCAGUCCAGUUGGACUUCCUGUCUCCAUCUCUUGGAGGCUGUGCUCAGCCCCCCGGGGCCCAGCUCUCUGACCCUCUAGAGCUCUCCCAGUCCUUCAUCACUUGAGGAGCACCCUUCCCAUGGCGGGCGGCGGGUGCUGGGCUUCUGAGGCUCUGGGCAUGGGUUGGCCUUGUUGUUUAGUCAGUUCCCAGCUCUGGUUUUAAUGAAUUUCCUACACAGAACAUGCAAGGAGGUCAUCGGACAGGAGUAAUUUUCAUGCACAACACUAGAAUCCUUUAGUCCCCUGCUAACUGCAAGCCUUCAAAAACCAAAACCAAAGUGAGCAACUGGGAAUGUGGUUAAAACUUCAGAUCUGUGUAUAUAUACUUUCUAACAUUGAUAAGGAAAUGGAUCAGUCCUGACACACAUCUAAAAUAAGAAUAUGGGAUUCCAGCUGAACAUCAUUGAUGGAACACAUCUUUUACCUUUUUUCUUUUCUAACAUACAAGUGAAAAGAAAUGAAUCCUGGAGGUUGAUAAGAGUGGAAGGAGGGGGGCACUGGAUGGGAUGAGCACUGGGUGUUAUGCUAUAUGUUGGCAAAUUGAACUCCAAAAGAGAGAGAGAGAGAGAGAGAGAGAGAAUGGAAGGAGACAGAAGAGAUUUCACCAGUUUGGGGAGAUGGAAAUUAGAUCGAGGAAUGGUCACUAACUUAGUAGACAGUGGUGUUACCUACUUAGGUGCCCGCAGGGAGGGAUUCGAGAAGCAAACAAUAUCACUCUGCUAAUCUCAGUAGACUCAGGAUUUGCAGGCCCUGGAGAAGGAAAAAUGUGGGGUAAGGCAUAAAUUGUUGCUGAGGGAUUCAUAGAAAGUCUGUGAUCACAUCCCUUGCGGUCGGUGGCCUCUGCCUUGUGCAGCCUUCUUUAUCUCUACUCUCUCCCUACCAGCCCUCUUUACCCAUGCCCACGUUACCAGUGGGAGCAGGCUAAUGCACCCUUAAAUUUAAUCAGAUUAGAGACCCAAUUCCAGAAAACCCAGGAUUGAUUCAAAGAACUCAGCCUUACAUUUUAUUUCUCCAGGACCAUCUCUGGUACUAAAUUCUGUAUCUUUCAGCAUUUGCCAAAGAAGCAUAACUAGUGGUGUGCAUAAUUGUGUGUGUGUGUACAUAUACACACUUUUACAGGCUUACACAACUAUGUGAGCCGGCUAAACAUGUCCAAAAUUUGUAGGGCAGAAAUGGAAGAUCAUGAGCCGACUGGAAUGGGAAUGAAUGGAAAGAAGUGUGCUGUCUAUGGCCAGUUAGGAACAGGAGAAUACGAGUGCGGCUUGAGCUUCCUCAACCAUGUCGCUCAACCGAACAGCUGCAAGCUGGGAAGUGCUGCGGAAGGCUAAUGUUGGGCAAACGGCCACUGUCAACGUGGUGAGCAUCAUCCACUAGAUUUUAUUUUAUCGAUAUCAUUAGAAUGAUUAGAAUGAUGAAUUCAACUUAGAGGCGGGAAGGAACACUCCUUCAAAAUCCUUAAUCCCUUCUCUGGAAUGAGUAGAUGACCCAAUAGCUUGUCCAGGGCUGGUCAUAGGCAACGAUAUGUUUGAUUAUCAUGACUACUCUUUAUCGAACACCUGCUAUAGGCCAUCUGACUGAUUGCUCACAUUUCCCCAUGACUUAGGAGAAGAGGCGCUACUUGCCUUUGUUCCUGAUUAUCUUCAAGGGUACCCAUACAUACGCGUACCCUAUGACCCAACAAUCCUACCCCUAGGUCUUUACCCGGGACAUAUGGAAACAGAUGUUCAUCCAAAAACCUACUCAGUCAGAUUUACAGCCCAUUAUAAAAAAGUCAAGCUCACUAAACUUGAAGCUCCUCUUUUGUAGUACAAGCCACUGCACGCAUAGGUGACAUCUGGUUUUCUUGGCACACACAUCCUGUGUAUCAGGACUCAGGAAACCAGUUUUGAGUGGCAAGAGAAGGUAAAAGUAGUUAAGAGCUUUGUCUCUAGCCUUGGACUAUCUGGGCUUACGUCCUAACUCCAUCACCAAAUAGCUUCCACGAGAGGGGGAUAGGGUUAGGCUCAGUUGUCUUGCCCUAUAAUCCCGAGCAUAAAGACUAAUGAGGAAAUAUGACUUAAUAAUUUAAUAUGAGCUGAAUUAUCGAUUUAAAUGAAUAUGCAAAUUAUCAGGAUCCCUAUUGUCAUUUGUAGGUGUUCUCAUAGAAAGACUGGGACUACCUGAUUUUUAAGUAUUUCUUCUAGCUCUGAAGUUUUGCAAUCAAGUGUUUUGACUUUUUACACUGUGCUUCCUUUAUUUGUCUCUAAAAAUCAAAGGUGGACCAGGAAAUCCUAUGACAAGUGAGGUCUAUGAGCUAAGAGCAUUGCAAUAGAUCUGCCCUAGGUACCCCUCUAACCCUCCGGUUAGGGAAAAGUGCUAAUAAAACAGGAUCAAUUUGCUCUUGGAUGGGCGAUACACAAGAUGAUAAAACUGUUUCUGAGGAUGUAAUGUCUGCGGUUCUGUUGGAUUCCUGAUUGAUGCUUGGGUCUUAGAGGAAGCCUUCCUCUUCUGACCUGUAUUGGCUCAUGUCAGCUAAGAAUUGACUUAAGGUCCCUGAAGUCAACAAAACAAAAUUUACAUAAGGCAAAAUGAAGUCAUCAGUUUGAAUUUAAAUAAUGUGUUUUAUUGGAUAUGAAGAUUUAGGGAUCUAAAUGUUUAUUCCACGUACCUAGAACAACACCCGGUGUGUAGUAGGAGCUCAUACAUUUUUGUCAAAUCAUGAAUGAGUGAAUAUUGAUAUAUAAGGAUAUCUUUGCUAAGUGGAAAACAGUUUGAUCUCCUUAUAACUGUAUAUUUAUUUUAUCUAGCUACCUAUCAUCUACCUUUUUAUGAUAUUCAAAGUAAAAAAAUCAAAAAGU